RNAcentral lists this long non-coding RNA (1191 nucleotides) under Oryctolagus cuniculus (rabbit). RNAcentral describes it as "lncRNA (ENSOCUG00000039586.1)". Lineage: Eukaryota; Metazoa; Chordata; Mammalia; Lagomorpha; Leporidae. The record is from RNAcentral.
GGCUUCAACUUCUGUCUCUGAUGGUGUGAUUUUCGGGGGACCACGGACUGCGGGCAUAACAAGGCGUCUGGCUCUCACAUUUGCAUGCUCACAGACACACUGUUAUUACAUUUUUCCACAUGGUCUCUGAGUUAGCCAAAGAAUCUUAGACCUGCACAGAUCAACCAAAGUUGGCACUGAUUCUAAAGGAGGAAUAAUCCUGUUUCUCCCAACACCAAAUUGGCAUUAAACUAGGAGGUGGGGAAGGAAAAACUAUCAUAAUUAAAUAGUUAUGAGAACUAACAAUCAAGUGCAAUGUGUAGGCUUUGAUUAGCUUCUUGUUUGAACAAACUAAUGGAUUUUUUUAGAUAAUCAAUUUGAAUGUUGAAGAGAUAUUAGAUGACAUUAAGAAAUGACUACUAAUUUUGUUAGGUAUGAAUAGUACAGUGAUUAUGCUAUUUCUUAUGUCUAUCUUGCAGAGAUACAUACUGAACCAUUUGAAGAAUCUCUGAGAUUUGCCUGUGGAAUACUGCAGUAACAAGUGAGGCAAGAAGGAAAGAAACAAGGCAAAAGAUGAAGCAAAAUUGGCAAAAUGUCAAAAUCUGCUGAAGUUCUAUGGGAGGUUCAUGGGUUUGUUAUACCGUUCACUGAGUCUUAUGUGUGCUAGAAGAUUUUCACAAUAAAAUAUUUUUAAAUUUUAAAAAAAUUCUUCCCAUAUUGACUAACUAAAUGGUGUGUUCUGUUAUACCAGACACAUGGGCAAUGAAAUAGCUCCACUUACCGGGAGCAGCAAGCAAAGAAGGAAAAGAAAGGAAGGCCAAUGGCUGCCCACGCCUCACCGCGGCUGCCCAUGCCAUAAUGCUGCCUCACUGCUGAGCCCAGAGAAGCACGGCGUCUCAGACUCAGCACUCCCCUGAAUGAGUUUCAGUAUCACACAAAGGAUCACAAUACAAAAGGCCAGGUGGAUGACUUCUUGUGAAGGUGCUUGUAUACUUACAGUGUAUAAUUUGUGUGUACAUCUAUGUAAAGACAUUAGUUGUCUGGGUUCACUUCUGAGAAUGAAAAAUUUGGGUUCCUUAUUCUUUCAAGGAAUUGGUAUCCAAACCAAGAACCAAACCAAGAAUAAAAAAAAGCUUCAUUUAGAACUUUGGUUUUAUUUCCUGAAGUCUUUUUUUUAAAAAAUAAAAUUAGGUGUAAAGGUUUGUGCUAACA